GUCUGUGUGUGUGUGUGUGUACUCAGCAGUCUGUGUGUGUAUUCAGCAGUCUGCUAAAUACAGACAGACUGCUAAGUACACAGACAGACUG
RNAcentral lists this microRNA precursor (91 nucleotides) under Pelobates cultripes (western spadefoot toad). Lineage: Eukaryota; Metazoa; Chordata; Amphibia; Anura; Pelobatidae. The record is from RNAcentral.